RNAcentral lists this ribosomal RNA (464 nucleotides) under uncultured bacterium. RNAcentral describes it as "partial 16S ribosomal RNA". It matches the Rfam family "Bacterial small subunit ribosomal RNA", at positions 339 to 795 of the family's 1533-position model. The record is from RNAcentral.
CUACGGGAGGCAGCAGUGGGGAAUAUUGCGCAAUGGGGGAAACCCUGACGCAGCGACGCCGCGUGAGUGAGGAAGGCUUUCGGGUCGUAAAGCUCUGUCAGAGGGGAAGAAGAUGCUAAGGUUAAGAGCUGUAGUAUUUGACGGUACCCUCAAAGGAAGCACCGGCUAACUCCGUGCCAGCAGCCGCGGUAAUACGGAGGGUGCAAGCGUUGUUCGGAUUUAUUGGGCGUAAAGAGCAUGUAGGCGGUCUGUUAAGUCAGGGGUGAAAGCCCCGGGCUCAACCUGGGAAGUGCCUUUGAUACUGGCAGACUAGAGUACGGGAGAGGGUAGUGGAAUUCCAAGUGUAGAGGUGAAAUUCGUAGAUAUUUGGAGGAACACCAGUGGCGAAGGCGGCUACCUGGACCGAUACUGACGCUGAGAUGCGAAAGCGUGGGGAGCAAACGGGAUUAGAUACCCCCGUAGUC